Molecule: ribosomal RNA, 808 nt
Filed under: uncultured Chloroflexota bacterium
Lineage: Bacteria; Bacillati; Chloroflexota
Description: bacterial SSU rRNA
Rfam family: Bacterial small subunit ribosomal RNA
Source: RNAcentral
AGGACGUUCGAAACUAGGCAGCUCGAGGGUGGUAGAGGAGAGUGGAAUUCCCGGUGUAGUGGUGAAAUGCGUAGAUAUCGGGAGGAACACCAGUGGCGAAGGCGGCUCUCUGGGCCACCACUGACGCUGAGGUGCGAAAGCUAGGGGAGAGAACGGGAUUAGAAACCCCGGUAUUCCUAGCCGUAAACGAUGUCAACUAAGUGUAGGUGGAUUGACCCAUCUGUGCUGUAGCAAACGCGUUAAGUUGACCGCCUGGGGAGUACGGCCGCAAGGCUAAAACUCAAAGGAAUUGACGGGGACCCGCACAAGCAGCGGAGCGUGUGGUUUACUUCGAGGCUACGCGAAGAACCUUACCAGGGCUUGACAUACAGCUGGAGUGAAGCGAAAGGGGGGAGGCCUUCGGGGAGGUAGCACAGGUGCUGCAUGGCUGUCGUCAGCUCGUGCCGUGAGAUGUUAGGUUAAGUCCCGCAACGAGCGCAACCCACGUUUCUAGUUGCCACUGCUUUAGAGAGACUGCCGGUGACAAACCGGAGGAAGGUGUGGAUGACGUCAAGUCAGCAUGCCCCUUACGUCCUGGGCUACACACGUACUACAAUGCUUCGGACAGAGGGUUGCCAGCCCGCGAGGGUGCGCUAAUCCCUAAACCGAGGCUCAGUUCAGAUUGCAGGCUGCAACUCGCCUGCAUGAAGGCGGAAUCGCUAGUAAUCGCCGGUCAGCAUACGGCGGUGAUACGUUCCCGGGCCUUGUACACACCGCCCGUCACACCAUGGGAGUUGGCCACGCCCGAAGUUGUUACCCUAACCGUUCC